AACAGCUGUUGGCCGAACUAGUUUUCUGGAACCAGAAACAAAAGCCAAAGACUGUAGAAAAAACUAAACCAAACCAAACCGAAAAUAAAAGCCAUUUGCGUGGGCUUUGAAAGACAAUUAGCCGCAUGCCGCAAAAUCGAGAGACCGAAACGGGUUUCGGUGAGUCAACAAUGCAAACUAUGCGGGCUUUUGGCUUCAAAACCAUCAUAAAUGGAUGUCAAAUUCUAUAAAAUUGCAGCAGAGCAUUAAUAUCCCCGCAAUGCAUCAAUUCCACUCCGCUUUUGUCUGUCAAUUGCAUUCGACUGGGAAUGGAACUGGAACUGCGAAUGAGUGUGCAUUCAAUUAUCCGACCGAAAGAGCUGAGAACUGAGCUGACAACCCAUCAGAGUGGUUUUUUAGACCAUUAAAAGCUUUUGCUUUUGCCACAAAAAACCAAAAUCGAUAAGUUUGCAGUUUGUAUCUGUUGCGGUCUGGCGGGAGUGAAGUUUUUUAAAUAAAAACUGUUUUGUUUA
Drosophila ananassae is the source of this 512-nucleotide long non-coding RNA. RefSeq lists it as uncharacterized. The record is from RefSeq and is a predicted model, not a curated record. NCBI's taxonomy places the organism in Eukaryota, Metazoa, Arthropoda, Insecta, Diptera, Drosophilidae. The transcript is spliced from 2 exons.